This is a long non-coding RNA of Fundulus heteroclitus (mummichog), 587 nucleotides long. RefSeq lists it as uncharacterized. Lineage: Eukaryota; Metazoa; Chordata; Actinopteri; Cyprinodontiformes; Fundulidae. The record is from RefSeq and is a predicted model, not a curated record. The transcript is spliced from 3 exons.
GACUACAGUUAGCAGUUGUCCUGUGGACAGAUUCUCCCACCUGAGCUGCGGAUCUCUGCAGAUGCUCCAGAGUAACCAUGGCUGCUUCUCUGAUCAACGCUCUCCUCGUUGGCAGCUAACUUCUGAAGAGUAUUAGCUCUACCAGAUUUCAUCAAGAGGUCAGGACACGGCGCGUUGCUCUUUGAGAUCCUCAGCCUACUUCGUGUUGUCAGACAGGUCCUGGUUACCAGAUAUCCUCACACCAAGGCGAGAUGCGUUUACAACGAGGGACGAGGCUGCAGCCCGUCUGUCUGCUGUGGGACGGCUAGGAGAAGAUGAGGAGACGCUCACAGCAGAAACCGCCGCUCUGAGACAGGAACUCCACAACUAUUGUUACUUUCACGGGAAGUCACCGAUAAAAGAAGAAAGCAGAUCGAUCCUGUAUCGUUCCUGUACCAUGAGCGAGAGCAUGCUGUGCUCAUUUUAUAGUAAAGUGAGGACCUUUUUUGGUCCUGGUUAGUUUUUCUGGACUAGAAGUCAGGUUUAGGACUAAGGUGUCAGUUUAGGGUCCGGUCCUCACUCUGUAUUUAAAAGAAGGAUGUGUGUGU